UUCACUUUUAAAAUGAAUCUGUAUUAAUGUUUUUAUGGUAUUUAACUUGAUAGUGUAUUGUUAAGGUAAUUUUAAGUUAUUUCCAUUUCAGAAGAAGCAUGUUGAAAACUAGAUUUUAGUUUUAAAGACUGCUAGAUUAUAUUUCUAAAAUUAUAUUCCUAAAAUUAUAUUCCUAUUAUAAUCCUAAAAUUGUUAUUUAUGUAGUCAUUGUGUAUCUAAGUUAAAUCAUAACAAAAAGUCUAAAUUCUCAGUAGUUAGUAACAUGUUUUGUAUCAAGUCAUAAUAUAUGCUAAUAUCUGCUGAAUGAGAAGCUCUUUCUUACUGCAUUUUACUCAUUUUUCUUUGAAAUAUAAUUUGUGUGUAUCUGAGUAGAACAAAAAGUCCUCUCAUGGAGCCGUGCCUGCUAUGUGAGUAAUUAACAGAAGAGCUUGUCUUCUGUAGGAAAUUUUAUAACCAAGCAAUAGAAAUGAAAUCAUUAUUUGAGAAGAUACCUUUUAGGACAGGAUGUGUCUCAUUUUUUCAGCUAAAUAGUAUUUUAAAAAAUAGUUAACCCUUCAGAGGCUAGCAAAGCAUCCCUGUUUCUCUGAAUGGUAGGGCCAUUUGCAGGGCCGCUUUCUGGUGAUGACCGAGAGCAGUAGUCACCAGUGAGGUUGAUGGCGCUCAUGUCUCUGUGU
RNAcentral lists this long non-coding RNA (674 nucleotides) under Bos taurus (domestic cattle). RNAcentral's name for it is "long non-coding RNA NONBTAT014812". Lineage: Eukaryota; Metazoa; Chordata; Mammalia; Artiodactyla; Bovidae. The record is from RNAcentral.